UUUUUUUUUUUUUAAAUCUGGAGACAACGUCUCCUGUUGGCCUCUGACUCUCAGUAUUCUUACCGUGUCUCCUGAGUGCAGGGAUUACAGACUUGUUCUAACACGCCCUGAUUCAUUACUUCACCUGUGGGUCUGCUUUACAUUCUCACCGAGACACAGAAGCAGUGGCACAUCCUAGUACUGGGAAGGCCAGUUUGGCAGCGAACCAGAUUCCCAAAUAUGUCACCACACACCAGGGGACUCCUGAUCUAUUUCCCUUCAAAGUCCCAGCUGAUGAAGGCACAGAGACAGUAGUUAGGGAACUGGAAUUCCACUUUCUACUCUCCCAAUGCCAGAAGAACUGGUUAAGGGUGUUUUGUGCCCUGGCUAACAGAGGGCUGCCUGAGGCCUGCCGAGGGUUAGUCGGGUCUCGACCCACUACCCUGCCUGCCUGCUGUGCCUCACCAGGCCCCCAGCACCCCGGGGGCUGUGAGACAGGGAGAAAGCAACAAGCUUAGCACUAUGGUACC
Molecule: long non-coding RNA, 509 nt
Filed under: Rattus norvegicus (Norway rat)
Lineage: Eukaryota; Metazoa; Chordata; Mammalia; Rodentia; Muridae
Description: long non-coding RNA NONRATT013484
Source: RNAcentral